AGGAGCAACAGCCCAGUGGCGGGGCCGGCUCUGGAAACCUGGAUUCAGCUCCGGCAGGAACUCCGGAGGUCUCCGUCUGCAGGGCCUGGAGGCUCCGGGGCGGG
RNAcentral lists this microRNA precursor (104 nucleotides) under Canis lupus familiaris (dog). RNAcentral's name for it is "mir-8834 microRNA precursor family". It matches the Rfam family "mir-8834 microRNA precursor family". Lineage: Eukaryota; Metazoa; Chordata; Mammalia; Carnivora; Canidae. The record is from Rfam by way of RNAcentral. RNAcentral also lists the same sequence under 1 other name.